RNAcentral lists this ribosomal RNA (245 nucleotides) under uncultured bacterium. Its description in RNAcentral is "partial small subunit ribosomal RNA". It matches the Rfam family "Bacterial small subunit ribosomal RNA", at positions 26 to 286 of the family's 1533-position model. The record is from RNAcentral.
AGAAUCAACGCUGGCGGCGUGCCUAACACAUGCAAGUCGCACGAGAAAGUGGAGCAAUCCACGAGUAAAGUGGCGCACGGGUGAGUAACACGUGAAUAAUCUACCUCCGAGUGGGGAAUAACUGAGAGAAAUCUUAGCUAAUACCGCAUAAUACCCACGGGUCAAAGCAGCAAUGCGCUUGGAGAGGAGUUCGCGGCCGAUUAGCUAGUUGGCGGGUAAUGGCCCACCAAGGCGAUGAUCGGUAU